Molecule: ribosomal RNA, 703 nt
Filed under: Enterobacter hormaechei
Lineage: Bacteria; Pseudomonadati; Pseudomonadota; Gammaproteobacteria; Enterobacterales; Enterobacteriaceae
Description: partial 23S ribosomal RNA
Rfam family: Bacterial large subunit ribosomal RNA
Source: RNAcentral
GUGACUGCGUACCUUUUGUAUAAUGGGUCAGCGACUUAUAUUCUGUAGCAAGGUUAACCGUAUAGGGGAGCCGAAGGGAAACCGAGUCUUAACUGGGCGUUAAGUUGCAGGGUAUAGACCCGAAACCCGGUGAUCUAGCCAUGGGCAGGUUGAAGGUUGGGUAACACUAACUGGAGGACCGAACCGACUAAUGUUGAAAAAUUAGCGGAUGACCUGUGGCUGGGGGUGAAAGGCCAAUCAAACCGGGAGAUAGCUGGUUCUCCCCGAAAGCUAUUUAGGUAGCGCCUCGUGAACUCAUCUUCGGGGGUAGAGCACUGUUUCGGCUAGGGGGCCAUCCCGGCUUACCAACCCGAUGCAAACUACGAAUACCGAAGAAUGUUAUCACGGGAGACACACGGCGGGUGCUAACGUCCGUCGUGAAGAGGGAAACAACCCAGACCGCCAGCUAAGGUCCCAAAGUCAUGGUUAAGUGGGAAACGAUGUGGGAAGGCACAGACAGCCAGGAUGUUGGCUUAGAAGCAGCCAUCAUUUAAAGAAAGCGUAAUAGCUCACUGGUCGAGUCGGCCUGCGCGGAAGAUGUAACGGGGCUAAACCAUGCACCGAAGCUGCGGCAGCGACGCUUAUGUGUUGUUGGGUAGGGGAGCGUUCUGUAAGCCGUUGAAGGUGUGCUGUGAGGCAUGCUGGAGGUAUCAGAAGUGCGAAU